This 312-nucleotide long non-coding RNA is filed under the name Musa acuminata (dwarf banana). Its description in RNAcentral is "long non-coding RNA (MACU_LNC000786)". Lineage: Eukaryota; Viridiplantae; Streptophyta; Magnoliopsida; Zingiberales; Musaceae. The record is from RNAcentral.
CUGACAUUCCAAUGCAGCAGCCAAAGCAGUCGCCAGGAGGCGUCUCCCGACGAUGAUGACAACUCCAUCUGGUCCGUUCAGGUUCAUGCGAGUGCCAACUCCGACCGCGACCACCACGAGCUGCUUGAAGAAGAAGAAGAAGAAGAAGAAGAAGAAGGCAUCGAUUCCAAAGUAACGGAAGCAGCAGAAGAAGAAGAGGAAGAGGGCGAAGCAAACGACGAAGAGUUGCUGGGCGACUUGUGCGAAGGUAUGAAGAAGAUGUCGAUGCUGGAUGACGAGCCAAGGUUGCUCGAGUUCACAGGGAAGCACACG